This 805-nucleotide ribosomal RNA is filed under the name Bacillus pumilus. Its description in RNAcentral is "bacterial SSU rRNA". It matches the Rfam family "Bacterial small subunit ribosomal RNA", at positions 28 to 839 of the family's 1533-position model. Lineage: Bacteria; Bacillati; Bacillota; Bacilli; Caryophanales; Bacillaceae. The record is from RNAcentral.
UGUCUACGCUGGCGGCGUGCCUAUUACAUGCUAGUCGUGCGGACAGAAGGGAGCUUGCUCCCGGAUGUUAGCGGCGGACGGGUGAGUAACACGUGGGUAACCUGCCUGUAAGACUGGGAUAACUCCGGGAAACCGGAGCUAAUACCGGAUAGUUCCUUGAACCGCAUGGUUCAAGGAUGAAAGACGGUUUCGGCUGUCACUUACAGAUGGACCCGCGGCGCAUUAGCUAGUUGGUGGGGUAAUGGCUCACCAAGGCGACGAUGCGUAGCCGACCUGAGAGGGUGAUCGGCCACACUGGGACUGAGACACGGCCCAGACUCCUACGGGAGGCAGCAGUAGGGAAUCUUCCGCAAUGGACGAAAGUCUGACGGAGCAACGCCGCGUGAGUGAUGAAGGUUUUCGGAUCGUAAAGCUCUGUUGUUAGGGAAGAACAAGUGCGAGAGUAACUGCUCGCACCUUGACGGUACCUAACCAGAAAGCCACGGCUAACUACGUGCCAGCAGCCGCGGUAAUACGUAGUGGCAAGCGUUGUCCGGAAUUAUUGGGCGUAAAGGGCUCGCAGGCGGUUUCUUAAGUCUGAUGUGAAAGCCCCGGCUCAGCCGGGGAGGUCAUUGGAAACUGGGAAACUGAUGGAAAAAAGAAAGUGUACUCCCGUGUAGCGGUGAAUGGUAAAGAUGUGGAAGACCCAGUGGCGAGGGCAUCUCUGGUCUGUACUGACCUAAAGACAAAGCUGGGAACAAACGAUUAUUCCUGGUAUUCCCCCUAACGAUAUGCAAGGUAGGGUUUCCCCCUUAUGGCGACUGGG